CAAGGAGGUCACACCUGUUUCCAUGCCGAACACAGAAGUUAAGCUCCUUAG
This 51-nucleotide ribosomal RNA is filed under the name Staphylococcus aureus. The record is from RNAcentral. Lineage: Bacteria; Bacillati; Bacillota; Bacilli; Caryophanales; Staphylococcaceae.